Molecule: ribosomal RNA, 462 nt
Filed under: uncultured bacterium
Lineage: Bacteria
Description: partial 16S ribosomal RNA
Rfam family: Bacterial small subunit ribosomal RNA
Source: RNAcentral
GAUGAACGCUGGCGGCGUGCUUAACACAUGCAAGUCGAACGGUGAAGCAGAGCUUGCUCUGUGGCUCAUUGGCGAACGGGUGAGUAACACGUGAGCAACCUGCCCCUGACUCUGGGAUAAGCGCUGGAAACGGCGUCUAAUACUGGACAUGAGCUGCGACCGCAUGGUCAGCAGUUGGAAAGAUUUUUCGCUUUGGGAUGGGCUCACGUUGGAUCAGCUUGUUGGUAGGGUAAUGGCCCACCAAGGGGUCGACGCAUAGCCGGCCUGAGAGGGGGACCAGCAAGAAUGGGACUGAGACCCGGCGCAGACUGGGACGGGAGGCAGCGGUGGGGAGUAUUGGACAAUGGGCGAGAGCCUGAUCCAGCAAUGAGGCGUGAGAGAUGAAGGGCUUAGGGUUGUAAAGCUCUGUUACCCGGGAUGAUAAUGACAGUACCGGGAGAAUAAGCUCCGGCUAACUCCGUG